RNAcentral lists this transfer RNA (73 nucleotides) under Fasciola hepatica (liver fluke). RNAcentral's name for it is "tRNA-Gly". The record is from RNAcentral. Lineage: Eukaryota; Metazoa; Platyhelminthes; Trematoda; Plagiorchiida; Fasciolidae.
GGUGGUGGUCGAGUGGGUUUGAGCGUUCAGUUACCACCUCGGAGGUUCGGGGUUCGAAUCCCCGCCACCACCG